RNAcentral lists this long non-coding RNA (556 nucleotides) under Homo sapiens (human). Its description in RNAcentral is "long non-coding RNA NONHSAT163761.1". The record is from RNAcentral. Lineage: Eukaryota; Metazoa; Chordata; Mammalia; Primates; Hominidae.
ACUCACACAAGCUCCCUGCUCUCAGGAGAAUCUGGCACAGCACCAUCACCAACUCAGAGGGAGGGAAGCAACCUUGAGUCAGCUCCCAGGCAGUAAUGAGUGUUCAAGGGAGAUAUAACUCUAAGGAAAAGGAUUGAGGUCAAGGAAUUAGAAGAAACAGAUGGAAGAAUCAUUUGAACCAUAUCCAGGUCUUUUGAAAAUGAUGAGACAGAAGAGAAAGCGAAAAUUGCUUCAGACAGUUUUGCUGAGAAAUUUGUCUCAGAUAAAUUUUGGAGUAAGACACUUUUGCCAAUGAUAUUAAUACUAUAAAGGAGCAUUUCUGGACUUGAUUCAUUAAUGAUUAGAAAGCUCGUAACAGAUUAGAUGACCAGGCUACAGUCUCACCUGCCAGGCAGUGCAGCUGCAGAUCUUGGCUGACCAUCAUGUCAUAUGUAACAUUAACUUCUUAUACGUGGGCACCUACUAUGUGCCAGUCACUGUGCCAGGAGUUGGAAAUAUGAGGAAGACCGUAAUUCUCAUAAUGAGAAUACAAGGAAGACCAUCUCUCAAGAAAGGA